Molecule: ribosomal RNA, 451 nt
Filed under: uncultured bacterium
Lineage: Bacteria
Description: bacterial SSU rRNA
Rfam family: Bacterial small subunit ribosomal RNA
Source: RNAcentral
GUCGUCAGCUUGUGUUGUGAAAUGUUGGGUUAAGUCCCGCAACGAGCGCAACCCUUAUCCUUGUUUGCCAGCACUUCGGGUGGGAACUCCAGGGAGACUGCCGGUGAUAAACCGGAGGAAGGUGGGGACGACGUCAAGUCAUCAUGGCCCUUACGAGUAGGGCUACACACGUGCUACAAUGGCGCAUACAGAGGGCGGCCAACUUGCGAAAGUGAGCGAAUCCCAAAAAGUGCGUCGUAGUCCGGAUUGGAGUCUGCAACUCGACUCCAUGAAGUCGGAAUCGCUAGUAAUCGUGGAUCAGAAUGCCACGGUGAAUACGUUCCCGGGCCUUGUACACACCGCCCGUCACACCAUGGGAGUGGGCUGCAAAAGAAGUGGGUAGUUUAACCUUCGGGAGGACGCUCACCACUUUGUGGUUCAUGACUGGGGUGAAGUCGUAACAAGGUAACCG